Molecule: RNA transcript, 4907 nt
Organism: Pan troglodytes (chimpanzee)
Lineage: Eukaryota; Metazoa; Chordata; Mammalia; Primates; Hominidae
Gene name: putative COBW domain-containing protein 7
Exons: 14
Source: RefSeq, a predicted model, not a curated record
CAGUAACAUGGCGGCCUGAGCGUGAGCCCUGGGCACUGUGGUGUCUCCAGUCCCCACCCCAGGUCAGGAGGCCAGCUUGGUCUAGGAGGAGAGGCUGGACUUUGGAGGGUUUUUAUGGCAUUGUCUGCCCAGCUGCUCCAAGCCAGGCUGAUGAAGGAGGAGUCCCCUGUGGUGAGCUGGAGGUUGUAGCCUGAAGAUGGCACAGCUCUGUGAUUCAUCUCCUGCGGUUGUGGCGGCCACGGUGAUGGAGACUGCAGCUCAACAGGAGUGGUAGGAGGGUACCCGUGGAGGCCAAGUAGUAGGAGCCUUGGAGGGUCUGAAGGCCAGAAUUCUACAGUAAGUCCUACUGAGUCAAGGUGGGAGCAGGGUCGGUGGCCUCCGAAGCUCUGAGGGAGAAUCCGUUUCCUGGCCGUAGAGGUGGCCUGCACUCCUCAGCUUGUGCUGCCCGUCUCGAAUGACUGGAGUUUCCUGCUUCUGUCACUACACCUCCCACCCUCUCCAUCACCUGCUCUGCUCUUACAAGGAUCCGAGUGGAGUCUUGCUCUGUCAUCCAGGCUAGCAGUGGCGUGAUCUUGGCUCACUGCAAUGUCUGCCUCCUGGGUUCAGGUGAUUCUCCUGCCUCAGCCUCCUGAGUAGCUGGAACUACAGAGAAAUGGAAUCAUCGUAUCGCUGAUCUACGUAAACAAAUUGAAGAAUUGUCUGAAAGAAAAUAUGGCAGAAAUUUAGAUAAGGAUAUCCUUAAACAGCUGUUUAUAGCUACUGUGACAGAAACAGAAAAGCAGUGGACAACACAUUUCAAAGAAGAUCAAGUUUGUGCUGUUGUAGGAGCAAGGGAUACAAUGAUGAUCAAGGCAGAUGCAGCCCUUACCUUCAGGUCGUGGAGUCCGGAUACAGACUGGAGGCAGGCAGCUGUAAGAUGUGUGACAAAUGCUGCGCUGGAUCAGCCCAUGGUAUUAGGAGAGCAGGCUCCGGUAGAUUGCAAAUGACCUGCUUUCUUUCGGCUCCCGGGCUGCUUUCGGACACCUGUCGAAUAGGAAAUCCCAAGUAAGCUACCUGCGGUCGUCGGCAGAUCUGAGUUUUCUUCUUGGACACCGAAUACCCACAGCCCUCCAGGCUCCGGAAGAUUGCAAAUGACCUGCUUUCUUUGGGAUCCCGGGCUGCUCUCGGACACCUGUUGAAUAGUAAAUCCCAAGUAAGCUACCUGCGGUCGUCAGCAGAUCUGAGUUUUCUUCUUGGACACCUAAUACCCACAGCCCUCCAGAGACCGAGAGGUUGAUGUCACUCCCAAUAUCAGAGGAAGUAUACACCCCCGUGUGAGAUGUUCCUUAAUGAUAUUCCACGGCGGAGGGGGUGAUAUGACUACAUACAUGGCAGAAAGUGGAAACCCCCCAGGGAUAUUAUUCCCACGAUCCUGGAGGGAAGAAGAUGAUGUUACUUUCAAUAUGACAGAAGGUGGAUGAAGUGGUGGACUGCCCCUCCACACCUGUGGACACGCCCCCACUGAUAUUCCCUCUAAUUGCAGCGUGGGAGAGGAGGAUAUGACACGCCAUAUCGCAGGGAGCAGAAACACCCCUGUGAUACUGUUCUUCAUAUUCAGGGAGGAAGAGGAUGAUAUUACUCCCAAUACAGACGGGUGUACACCCUCUGUACACCGAGGGUGUACACCCGUCUGUGAAAGAGUUCGUAAUCUCCAGAGGGGGAGAUGAUAUUACUCACAAUAUGGUAAAGAGGCUGUGAGUCCACGGAGGAUCCUCAGAGCCAGCGGGGGAAGAGGGGCUGGCUCUGAGACCCCGCCUCGCUGGGGUUGCCUCCCCCCACUGCGAUGGGGGUCCUAAGAGACAGUGGGGGAAGAGGGGCUGGCUCUGAGACCCCGCCUCGCGGGGGGUGCCUCCCCCCCCUGCGAUGGGGGUCCUAAGGGCCAGUGGGGGAAGAGGGACUGGCUCUGAGACCCCGCCUCGCGGGGGGUGCCUCCCCCCCCGCGAUGGGGUUCCUAAGGGCCAGUGGGGGAAGAGGGGCUGGCUCUGAGACCCCGCCUCGCGGGGGGUGCCUCCCCCCCUGUGAUGGGGGUCCUAAGAGCCAGGAGCAGAAGAGGGGCUGGCUCUCUGUACCCGCCUCGCGGGGGGUGCCUCCCCCCCCCCGUGAUGGGGGUCCUAAGAGCCAGAAGGCUUAGAGGGGCUGGCUCUCAGUCCCCGCCUCGUGGGGGGUGCCUCCUCCCCCUGCGACGGGGGUCCUAAAUGCCAGUGGGGAAAGAGGGGCUCGCUCUGAGACCCCGCCUCGCUGGGGGUGCCUCCCCCCACUGCGAUGGGGGUCCUAAGGGCCAGUGGGGAAAGAGGGGCUGGCUCUCAGUCCCCGCCUCGUGGGGGGUGCCUCCUCCCCCUGCGACGGGGGUCCUAAAUGCCAGUGGGGAAAGAGGGGCUGGCUCUGAGACCCCGCCUCGCUGGGGGUGCCUCCUCCCCCUGCGAUGGGGGUCCUAAGAGCCAGGGGGGGAAGAGGGGCUGGCUCUCAGUCCCCGCCGCGCGGGGGGUGCCUCCCCCCCUCGUGAUACGGAUCCGAAGAGCCAGGGGGGGAACAGGGGGAGAGGAUGAUAAUUUCAGCAUCGCAGGCUGUGUUCACCCAGCCUGUUAAAUUGUUAUUAGUAUCCUGAAAGGGAGAGGAUGAUAUUACUCCCCAUAACAGACAGAUAUGACUCCCCAUCGUAGAGCACGAGGUGUACACCCGCCCUGUGAUUUUCUUCCUCAUAUUCAGAGACCGAGAGGUUGAUGUCACUCCCAAUAUCGGAGGAAGUAUACACCCCCGUGUGAGAUGUUCCUUAAUGAUAUUCCACGGCGGAGGGGGUGAUAUGACUACAUUCAUGGCAGAAAGUGGAAACCCCCCAGGGAUAUUAUUCCCACGAUCCUGGAGGGAAGAAGAUGAUGUUACUUUCAAUAUGACAGAAGGUGGAUGAAGUGGUGGACUGCCCCUCCACACCUGUGGACACGCCCCCACUGAUAUUCCCUCUAAUUGCAGCGUGGGAGAGGAGGAUAUGACACGCCAUAUCGCAGGGAGCAGAAACACCCCUGUGAUACUGUUCUUCAUAUUCAGGGAGGAAGAGGAUGAUAUUACUCCCAAUACAGACGGGUGUACACCCUCUGUACACCGAGGGUGUACACCCGUCUGUGAAAGAGUUCGUAAUCUCCAGAGGGGGAGAUGAUAUUACUCACAAUAUGGUAAAGAGGCUGUGAGUCCACGGAGGAUCCUCAGAGCCAGCGGGGGAAGAGGGGCUGGCUCUGAGACCCCGCCUCGCUGGGGUUGCCUCCCCCCACUGCGAUGGGGGUCCUAAGAGACAGUGGGGGAAGAGGGGCUGGCUCUGAGACCCCGCCUCGCGGGGGGUGCCUCCCCCCCCUGCGAUGGGGGUCCUAAGGGCCAGUGGGGGAAGAGGGACUGGCUCUGAGACCCCGCCUCGCGGGGGGUGCCUCCCCCCCCGCGAUGGGGUUCCUAAGGGCCAGUGGGGGAAGAGGGGCUGGCUCUGAGACCCCGCCUCGCGGGGGGUGCCUCCCCCCCUGUGAUGGGGGUCCUAAGAGCCAGGAGCAGAAGAGGGGCUGGCUCUCUGUACCCGCCUCGCGGGGGGUGCCUCCCCCCCCCCGUGAUGGGGGUCCUAAGAGCCAGAAGGCUUAGAGGGGCUGGCUCUCAGUCCCCGCCUCGUGGGGGGUGCCUCCUCCCCCUGCGACGGGGGUCCUAAAUGCCAGUGGGGAAAGAGGGGCUCGCUCUGAGACCCCGCCUCGCUGGGGGUGCCUCCCCCCACUGCGAUGGGGGUCCUAAGGGCCAGUGGGGAAAGAGGGGCUGGCUCUCAGUCCCCGCCUCGUGGGGGGUGCCUCCUCCCCCUGCGACGGGGGUCCUAAAUGCCAGUGGGGAAAGAGGGGCUGGCUCUGAGACCCCGCCUCGCUGGGGGUGCCUCCUCCCCCUGCGAUGGGGGUCCUAAGAGCCAGGGGGGGAAGAGGGGCUGGCUCUCAGUCCCCGCCGCGCGGGGGGUGCCUCCCCCCCUCGUGAUACGGAUCCGAAGAGCCAGGGGGGGAACAGGGGGAGAGGAUGAUAAUUUCAGCAUCGCAGGCUGUGUUCACCCAGCCUGUUAAAUUGUUAUUAGUAUCCUGAAAGGGAGAGGAUGAUAUUACUCCCCAUAACAGACAGAUAUGACUCCCCAUCGUAGAGCACGAGGUGUACACCCGCCCUGUGAUUUUCUUCCUCAUAUUCAGAGACCGAGAGGUUGAUGUCACUCCCAAUAUCGGAGGAAGUAUACACCCCCGUGUGAGAUGUUCCUUAAUGAUAUUCCACGGCGGAGGGGGUGAUAUGACUACAUUCAUGGCAGAAAGUGGAAACCCCCCAGGGAUAUUAUUCCCACGAUCCUGGAGGGAAGAAGAUGAUGUUACUUUCAAUAUGACAGAAGGUGGAUGAAGUGGUGGACUGCCCCUCCACACCUGUGGACACGCCCCCACUGAUAUUCCCUCUAAUUGCAGCGUGGGAGAGGAGGAUAUGACACGCCAUAUCGCAGGGAGCAGAAACACCCCUGUGAUACUGUUCUUCAUAUUCAGGGAGGAAGAGGAUGAUAUUACUCCCAAUACAGACGGGUGUACACCCUCUGUACACCGAGGGUGUACACCCGUCUGUGAAAGAGUUCGUAAUCUCCAGAGGGGGAGAUGAUAUUACUCACAAUAUGGUAAAGAGGCUGUGAGUCCACGGAGGAUCCUCAGAGCCAGCGGGGGAAGAGGGGCUGGCUCUGAGACCCCGCCUCGCUGGGGUUGCCUCCCCCCACUGCGAUGGGGGUCCUAAGAGACAGUGGGGGAAGAGGGGCUGGCUCUGAGACCCCGCCUCGCGGGGGGUGCCUCCCCCCCCUGCGAUGGGGGUCCUAAGGGCCAGUGGGGGAAGAGGGACUG